Molecule: ribosomal RNA, 497 nt
Filed under: uncultured bacterium
Lineage: Bacteria
Description: partial 16S ribosomal RNA
Rfam family: Bacterial small subunit ribosomal RNA
Source: RNAcentral
GAUGAACGCUGGCGGCGUGCCUAAUACAUGCAAGUCGAGCGAACGGACGAGAAGCUUGCUUCUCUGAUGUUAGCGGAGGACGGGUGAGUAACACGUGGAUAACCUACCUAUAAGACUGGGAUAACUUCGGGAAACCGGAGCUAAUACCGGAUAAUAUUUUGAACCGCAUGGUUCAAAAGUAAAAGACGGUCUUGCUGUCACUUAUAGAUGGAUCCGCGCUGCAUUAGCUAGUUGGUAAGGUAACGGCUUACCAAGGCAACGAUGCAUAGCCGACCUGAGAGGGUGAUCGGCCACACUGGAACUGAGACACGGUCCAGACUCCUACGGGAGGCAGCAGUAGGGAAUCUUCCGCAAUGGGCGAAAGCCUGACGGAGCAACGCCGCGUGAGUGAUGAAGGUCUUCGGAUCGUAAAACUCUGUUAUUAGGGAAGAACAUAUGUGUAAGUAACUGUGCACAUCUUGACGGUACCUAAUCAGAAAGCCACGGCUAACUACGUG